GACGAACGCUGGCGGCGUGCUUAACACAUGCAAGUCGAACGGUGAAGGGGCCUGCUUUUGUGGGCCCUGGAUGAGUGGCGAACGGGUGAGUAACACGUGAGUAACCUGCCCCCUUCUUCUGGAUAACCGCAUGAAAGUGUGGCUAAUACGGGAUAUUCUGGGUCUGUCGCAUGAUGGGUCUGGGAAAGAUUGCGCCUUUGGGUGUUUUUGGUGGGGGAUGGGCUCGCGGCCUAUCAGCUUGUUGGUGGGGUGAUGGCCUACCAAGGCGGUGACGGGUAGCCGGCCUGAGAGGGUGGACGGUCACACUGGGACUGAGACACGGCCCAGACUCCUACGGGAGGCAGCAGUGGGGAAUAUUGCACAAUGGGCGCAAGCCUGAUGCAGCGACGCCGCGUGAGGGAGGGAGGCCUUCGGGUUGUAAACCUCUUUCGCCAGUGAAGCAGGCCUGCUCCUUGUGGGUGGGUUGACGGUAGCUGGAUAAGAAGCGCCGGCUAACUACGUG
This 502-nucleotide ribosomal RNA is filed under the name uncultured bacterium. RNAcentral describes it as "partial 16S ribosomal RNA". It matches the Rfam family "Bacterial small subunit ribosomal RNA", at positions 28 to 507 of the family's 1533-position model. The record is from RNAcentral.